Molecule: long non-coding RNA, 226 nt
Organism: Panthera uncia (snow leopard)
Lineage: Eukaryota; Metazoa; Chordata; Mammalia; Carnivora; Felidae
Exons: 3
Source: RefSeq, a predicted model, not a curated record
AGCUGUAGGAAAGCGGGCUUCUUCUGUUUCCUAAGACCCAGACGCUGACCUCUUGGUGGAGCCUCAGGAAGUCAGGUUCUCUUCCUUCAAGGAGAGAUUGGAAGCCCACACUCUAGGAAAGUCACACAGCGGUGGAAGAAUCUUGUAGAUAAAGAACAAUAACAGAAAUCACUGCACAGGAGGACUGGAAGGAAAUAAGACAAAAUGCUGCCUUUAGAUGGUAAGA